CGCUCCGUAAUUUUAACUUUUCAAAACAAGAAAAGUAUUAAUUUAAUGAAUAUAAUAUAAUUAUUUUUAUUAAAAUAUAUGCACUCUACAGUGAGUGUCCACUAAACUGUACUACACAUUGGUACCUGAGCAAAGACGAUCAUCGCUCCACAUUGCUACGUACAAAGUUUAGCGCAUGUUUUAGCGUCGAAGCCAGCUACUACGUGAUAUGUUGUUACAGCCGACUUCUCUCGACUUACCACCAGAAUUUUGGCCAAACUGCUUUUCUGAAACAUUGCAGUGGUGCUACUUAAAAUGGGAUACGACAGGGCGCACAACUGAUCGGGAGACAGAUCGAGAUGAAGCGAAAAUCCACGCAUCUGAAGCAUUGAGGACAAGAGACACCUAGUUAAAAAAAUUUGGAAAAUUUUAUAUAUUCCAAGACAUAGCAACCAGUCUAAUCAUGAACACUUCGUUAUCAACACAACAAAAAUUGUCUGAUUAUCCUAAAUGCAAUUGCCAAAAUCUAUCUGUUACUACUACUACUACAUCUAUUAUAAA
Molecule: long non-coding RNA, 540 nt
Organism: Achroia grisella
Lineage: Eukaryota; Metazoa; Arthropoda; Insecta; Lepidoptera; Pyralidae
Exons: 5
Source: RefSeq, a predicted model, not a curated record